AUGGGAUUUAUAGAUAUUCAAAGUUUUAACUUGGCGCUCCUAGCUAAGCAAUGUUGGAGACUUAUUGAGCACCAUGAGUCACUUUGUGCAAGGGUACUCCGUGCUAAAUACUACCCUACUGGUGAACUACUAAACUGUGGUUUGAAGAAGGGUUCUUCCUUUGUAUGGCAGAGUAUAUGGGCAGGAGUUCAGUCCUUUAAGAAAGGAAGCAUUUGGAGGGUGGGAAACGGUCUGAAGAUUAACAUUUGGGAGGACUGUUGGGUGCCGAACAGCUCCUCCAGGAAAGUGAUCACUCCACGCGGUAACAUAAUGUUGGCCAGGGUUUAUGAGCUGAUUAACCCUGUAUCUGGCGAGUGGGAUGAAGGUCUAAUUAGAGAAAACUUCUGGCCUAUUGACGUUGACCGUAUACUGCAAAUUCCCUUGCACCAUGAGGAUACAGAAGAUUAUGUGGCGUGGCACUUGAUGGGGACGGAACUGUUUAUCGUGCGGUCUGCUUAUUAUAAACAGUGGGAAGAUUCGUAUGCUAAUUGUGAACCAAGUGCUAUCUCGAGUGGAUCUAUGUCACACCCAAUAUGGAAGAAGUUGUGGAAUCUCAAAGUGCCAAGUAAAGUGAAAAUUUUUAUAUGGCGUUCACUGCACAAUGCCAUUCCCUGCUUUGGUGUGCUAGCUGAUCGGCAUAUUUCUACUACGGCACAAUGCCCGGUAUGCAAACUGCAUGCUGAGGAUGUCGCGCAUGCACUAUUCGGUUGCUCGCGCGCCGAAGGAAUCUGGGCGUUACUUGGCCUACAGGAAAAGGUAACUGCGGCCGGACCUCCG
This 816-nucleotide ribosomal RNA is filed under the name Triticum aestivum (bread wheat). RNAcentral's name for it is "partial small subunit ribosomal RNA". Lineage: Eukaryota; Viridiplantae; Streptophyta; Magnoliopsida; Poales; Poaceae. The record is from RNAcentral.